CGGAAGGGAAGGACUCCCAAACGGUGCUCAGCACCUCUGCCGUGCAGGAAGCGUCCACAUCCCCGUGCUAACCUGUGCAAACAGCUGGAGGUGGGACAGCCCUAGCCAGGGGAGGAGGAGUCCGCACCCUGCAAGUGUAGAGAGACUUACUACAGAUAAGAAGAUUGUAACCUAUCGAUGGCCAAUUCCCUUUAACCUGUAAUGUGCAUGAUCGGUCCAGCCCUCACCUCUCAGAUCAGCUGCUCUCCUUCCACUGAGUGAGCCCCCCAUCCCUGUCUUCCCUUUGCUGCUGGCUAUAUCCAACCCUUGGACCCAAGGAGGCGCCUAUAUGAUUAUACGGUUGGUGCAUCUGGAUUCCCCUUCUUCCUGCUCUGUUUGCACCCUUAGAGGUGACUGCAAGGUGUGGUGCUGGUGGUGGGUAGGAAAGGAGGGACGGACACAGGGAGUGAGGGUGUACAUAGGUAACAGGGAGGACAGGCUGGGGUUAUGUUCACACAGAUGAUCUCUCUUGCAGUCCAGCUGGUGUACACUGACAUGUUUUAAUCCCAGCGAGUAGGGAGGGGGAGGAGGACUGAGCAGGGAUAGGUUGGCAGGAGCAAGAUGUGGGUGGUAUGCUCUGUUUUGUAAGGAGCACUGAGAUUGCAGCAUGGUUAUCAGCCACACGUUUCGGUCUCCCAUGUGUAGGAUGUAUUCACCGGGAGAGGGGGUCAGUCAGUUCCUCAUAUACCAUUUAUGUGUUGUACACCUACACUGCUAACCUACCUGGUGAACCUUCAUACUAUACACCGGGAGCACUGUGACACUCAUACAGAAUGAUACAGUGAUUCAUGGUAUCUCUGUGUUCUAGAAUGUUUGCUGUUACAGUUGCAGGACAUAUGUGGUUCUUUGGGGGGGGGGUGCAUUACGCCCAGAGGGGAUAUUUUUUGUAAUGUGUUUUUGUUAUUGGAAGUGUGAACAGUAAAUGAUCUGUUUAUGAGGCUGGAUAGGGGUGUAGUUUCAGAAAAGCAAAAUGACAAUAAGUAAAACCCGCAGAAAAAAACACUUAACACAUCUGUCUGGUUAGUGUUGCUUCCGGUUUCAUGGCGUGGCUAUAAGCAGUUGCUGGUAAAAAAAAAAAAAACACGAACAAAAAAAAAUCAUAACUUCUCCAUUUCCACGCCCUCUGUACAGGAAGCAAGCUUUCUUUUGAAUGUAACAAACCACAAGACAUGAAGUGCUUUAUGUUAUGCAUAUCACAAGAGACACCUUGUUCUCCUAUUAAUGGACCACUAGGGUCUCUUGCACAAUUCCAGAGACUAGGUGAUAAGCAUUUGCUCUAUAGGUUAUAGUGUUAAACUAGUAUACUAGACUGGUAUAAUAUGUUAUAAGGAAAAACAAACAUACUGGUGUAACGUUUUAAUGGUUAGAUGGUAAUUGAAACUGCUUAAAAGUUUUAUUUGAAUGACCAGGAUGUCAUUUUAAACUGGUACAUUGGAGUUUAUAUAAUAUUAUUGAAUCUGAUGUUAAUCAGCCGUUUCAAUCUCAGACCACUAUGUUUUCUAGAUUUUUAAAAUUAACUCUAUUUGGAUUACUUUUGUAUAUUUUAUAUCUCAUGAGCAGUGUGGGCUGAGAUUUCUUUUGAAGUCUGUCACAGAAUUGUUUACUAUCAUAAUCACCUGUGUAUCUUGUUAAUGAAUCAUUUGCUCAAAUUGGAACGUAUACGCCCACAUAGCAGCAUGUCUAACAGAACAUUUUAUAAGUAGGUGGAUGUAUUGUGGGUUUUAUUUUAUUUUUUUACAUAUUGUAAUGGCACAAUAAAGUUAUAUGUAAUAUUAGCACAUGACUACUGAUACUUGUGGAAGGUUGGAUCAGUGUGUACAUAAAAUUGUUCAGAGCUGGUGGUGUCAAACCAUCUGUAAAGAUUUCAGGCCUUGUCCUUAGACUUUCUUCCAGUCACCUUGCUUAGUGCAGAUUCUAUCAUGUGGAAUUGCACAAUAGCCACUAAUACAUAAGGUCACAUUGUUGGGACUAUUGGGUUGGUGCCAGUAGAUAUAUACUGUACUUACAAAAAAUAUGCACCUUGUUAAAGGACCACUAGAGUGCCCUGAGGGUGCCCCCACCCUCAGGGACCCCCUCCCGCCGGGCUUGAUGGCGAGGAAAGGGUUAAAACGUACCUUUAUUCCAGCGCCGGGCGGGGAGCUCUCCUCCUCCUCUCCUCCCCUUCAGCUGAAUGCGCAUGCGCAGCAGGAGCUGCGUGCGCAUUCAGCCAGUCUCAUAGGAAAGCAUUCACAAUGCUUUCCUAUGGACGCUGGCGACUUCUCACUGUGAUUUUUCACAGUGAGAAGCAUGCAAACGCCUCUAGCGGCUGUCAAUGAGAGAGCCUUUAGAGGCUGUAUUAACCCAUUUAUAGAAACUGCUAUAUAUAUAUAUAUAUAUAUAUAUAUAUAUAUAUAUAUAUAUAUAUAUAUAUAUAUAUAUAUGGGGGUUAACCCUAGCUGGACCUGGCACCCAGACCACUGCAUUAAGUUGAAGUGGUCUGGGUGCCUAGAGUGGUCCUUUAGCUUCAUUCUUUAUAAAAUAUUUCAAUCAAAAGCUUUCCCUUUUGCAUUUUGGUAUGUGCAUAUUGUGUGUUCAGUGGCUCAAGGUAGCAUUAGCACUCUAAAAGUUUACUAAGGAUAGGUACGAUUUUUUUUUAAAUAGGAGCCUUGUGUCUGCAGUGGGAAUUUUGGGGGAAACCAUUUUAGAAAAUACAUUUGUCAUGUAAAAAAAAUUUUCUGAAAAAAUUUAUAAACACUGAAAUGUUUGUUUGCAAAGUGUAUGUUUUCCAUAUCCACAAGAAACAGUUGCAUACACAUUUACUUAAAUGUUAUUUUGCUAGAAAAAAAAAUAUAGUAAAUUUGUGAAAUAGGUGUUUUCAGGUGUUUGCACCUCUUUGCUGAUAAUAGAUGCAAGUAAACAGAUACAUUUAAAUGAACACUAUAGGCACCCAGACCACUGAAGUGGUUUGGGUGCAAUGUCCCUGUCCUCUUAACCCUGCAAUGUUAAUUAUUGCAGUUUCACACUGCAAUACUGUAUUUACAUGAGGUUUGAAUGUUGCAUUCUUAAUGAUACAUAAUAUAAAUAAACACAAGACAACUUCUUUUAUCCAACUUGUUUAUUCAAUACUCCAAUAUUGCACCUUGGAGAAUGGCCGUGAACCUUUAUUACGGAUUUCAUAAUUCCACUUUAAACAUAAAACCAUAAUUUUAAAAUCAAACCGAAAUAUUAACCAUUAAAACUUUCCACCAUUAAAACUUUCCAACUUUCCAAGGCUCCGCCCCCCACCAAAGCCAGGAGCCAUAAAUAUAUCAUAAAACCAAUUUUAUAAACCAAAUCCACCCUCCUGUGAUGCCCAGGAGGGUGACUUAUAUCCCAACGCCACUGAGGUAAUGGGAUACCAAACACGGUGGCCCCCCACCGCCCACAGCCAUCUCCAACAUAAAGUGAACACUUACCUUAAAUAUAUAUCCACACCAACAUCGGACAAAUGAAAUGCGCAUUCCUAUAUAAACCUGUGCAACUGCCCUCAAUAACUAUGAGUCUUUUAAAAAGACAACCAAAGCUGCAAAACCUUUCUAACGCUCUAUUUAAGCGGUUUAACCUUAUUUUCAUCCAGCAUUGCUUUGGUAUAAUUUCCGACCAAAUAAAUUGAACAUCUAGAAUUUUUUUUUUGCCACAAAAACCUUACCCUUCUUAAUUACUUACCACAAAUUGACUGAUUUUAUUGACCCAAUGUUGUUUCCUCCCAGAUGAACCACUACCACAACUGGGUAAGGAAAAACUAGGUAAAUUGUUGCAAUAACUCAAAUAAAUGUGACCAUUUCACACCACGAAUACCAAAAUAUUUUAACCAUUGUGCUUCCAAACCAAGAUUUUUCACCAUAUGUUCGCUCUUGCGCUCUCUUCUGGGCCCAUACCAUAAACGAAUAACCAAUGACCCAGGCAAAUGCCGGCUUCUUAAGACCUAACAAAAGAAAAAUUAUUAGUAUAUGUACUAAUUUCCAUAAAACCCAUAACUUUCAUAAAUACCAAGUAACCAUUUACCAAUAGAAUAUUUCAUUUAUUUAUUAUCGAAUGAAGCCUGACACAUAAUUGAAAUUGUUAGAGUCCCGGCUUCCCAACGUUUGACUGAUUCCAUCAUUUCAACCACACCUUGCCGCUUUGUUUGCAGCUCCAAUUCUAAAAGAACAAGAUGAGUAACACUCCUUGUCCAACCAAAUUAUAUUUUUUUUUAUUUUUUUAUAAAACCUUUAUGAAUUGAAAUUAAGUUAAAGAAUUAAAUCAGCAUACAUAAAAUGGGCCCUUUACUCAUAGCCUUACUGAUAACUGUUCUUCUGUUACUUUACAGGGCACAAAAUAAACUUUAAUAUUAAACAAUGUCAACCAUAUGUCGUUUUCUUCUUGAACCGUUUAGGUUUUCUAAUAGAUAUCAAUACUCUCUUAUUGUGCACCAUAACAUCCUCAGACAGCACACCCGAUAAACAAAAUUUACUCCUCGUAACCAACUCACCAAUCCUACACUUGAAAACUGAUAUAAACGGGCAUCUAAAUAACUCAAAGAAGAAUAAUAUACGACUUUAAAAUCUUCCGAUAACUGUGCCAAACCCGAAAAUGAAUUCGGUUUUCUAUUAUCCCUUACCUGACAAACUCUCCUACCACCUUUAACUAGCUGAACUAUGAAAUACUGUUUUGAUUGGUUUACCAUCACAUAGCUUCAGAAGAAAUCCACCUUUGCUAAAUCACUUGUAACUUUGAUUUAGAAAAGCCCUUUCUGCAUUACAUGAACUAUAAAUUGCACUGCACUCUCCUUAUCCUCUUCUAAUGGAAUUUUCCCAUUUACUUUUAAAAUUCACUGCUCAUUCCAUGCCCUUAACUUAAGACAGCAAAACUGAAGCUGCCACUAAAUUAACACUUAACUGUCCCAAACUAUACCCAAAGGUCUGAUGAAAAUUCGAUUCCUUUCGUUUCCCGAAACUUUAAUUUUAAACUUGAGAGAGCAUCAACCAGCCUAUUCAUUUUCUUGGUUUAUGCCCGACUUUGCGUAUUUUUUUAUUUUUUAUUAUUUUUUUUUUUUAGGUAUUGAAUUGCAGAUACCUUAAAAACCAAAUGUCUCAGCAAAUUAACUACCCUUUAACACCAAAGACUGUAAGGAAUUGAGUACGAUAACUACACUCAAAUUAUCAAAUAUAUAGCAAUCAAUCGUCUACCUUUCCAUACCCUCCCAUAAGUAUGGCUGCUACAAUGGGGAAUAUAUCCAAACACGUUAAAUUAUUUGUUAAACCUUCUUGUUGGCCAUUCUUGAGAACUCCCCUGUCCUUCCCAAUGUGUACCGAAAACAAUGCACCUGCUGCAUCAGUUAACAGCUCCAAAUUAUUAAAUCUGUAAACUCCUUCUGUCACAUUGAUCCCCCAUUAACUUUACAAGAUUUUUUGUUAAAUUAAUUUUUUAAUACUUUAAGUCAUGUUUUAAUUCUCUUGUUAUUCCAUUGUGAGCAGAGGGGGUUGGAGGGUCAGUGUUUGCCUUAGUUAUACCGAUUUUCUUGGAAAAAUGCUCUCCCCAUUAGGAUAACCCUUGAUGCAAAUACAACAAACCUAAGAGUGAUUGCAGCACCUUAAAGUUACUUUUCCACAGCCCCGUUACCUGUUGAAUCAGCAUCCUCAUCUUCUUAAUCCUAUCCUCCGGCAACCUAAAUUCCAUAUUUCUUUUCUCUCUUUUUUUUUUUUAUUUUUUUUUUAAUUAAUUUAUUUUUAUCAGGAAUUGUAGACAAGUAAAUAAUUGGAUAAAAUCCUCUUUUCUGCUGCUAAAAGAAUACGUAAAUUAGAAGUCACCUUUUGAAAAAUUUCUAACAGGCUCUUACAGUUGCCACUCUCUUUGGAGCCCACAAUAAAAUCAUCAAAUAGUGCACUAUUUUUCUCUGACCAGGCUUGCAACAUCUCAAAUAACUCAAAGUAAGAACAUGCAAGCACACGAAAAACUGGUAAGCACCUGCCGAAAAUACGUCCUUCAAAUUGAAAAUUUACGAAUUAAAUGACUCUGGAUAAAUUGGUCAGAGUUAAAAGCAGCUAUAAUACUGACUCUUCCCACAUUCUUUUACCAAAUUUAAAACUUAUCAAAAGUUGAAUAUGACACUGAACUAUCCUCCUUUAGAAUCACGUCAUUUAAAGAUUCUCACUUAAAGUAUGAUAAGUGGUGUAUCAAUCUGAAUGACCCUGGCUCCUUCUUUGGAACUAAACCCACGGAGAUACUAAAAUUUGCAAGGAUGAACAGAGAAAGGACUUUCAAUCCUGCCUAGCUUAAACUGUUUACAAAUCUUUACCUACGCUAUAUAUUUGGCAACUCUAAAUGUAUUUGUAACUUUUAAAUAUAUACAGGUAACCGGAAACCAACAUCUUCAAACUUUGUCUUCUCCAAUUUUAAUACUAUCUAGAAAAUGCAGUAAUCUUCGCAGCCUCACUGAGGUCUGUGCUUUAAAAUGUACUGCUUUGCUGGCCUCUUUUAAAACAACGAAAAUUACUGUGUGCACCUGAAGAGGUAGCACAUUCCUGACGGUAUCUACAUUUAUUUAAACACUUAUACUGAGAUUCAUCAAAAGCCAAACCCGUGUUUUUUUUUUUUUUUUUAUGUUAUAUUUGUACUAACCUACCUUUUAGCAUAAACUAGCUGUCUCUAAGGUAACUCCAUGCUCACGCAUAGCCUUCUUUUUCAUUCCAUUUUUAUGUUACUCUGAACCGCUGUCAGGGUACCUGUUGGUGAUGUAUCCAGGGAGGACAUCCUCUCUGCUUAGGGGUUCCCUUCCCCUAGCAUUUCGGCAUAUUUCGGCCGUUUUCGCGCCGGCCGCGCUAGCUCCUCCCCCUUUUAUGACGCGACGGCUAGCGUCGACGUCAUGACGUCGGCAUUUGCAUAAAGUGCCGGGAACCGCUAUUCCGGACCUUUUGGGGGCGUGGUCUCUAUUUAGGUAACAGGGUAUUUAAAGGAAACCUUUACUACUGCUCAUUGCCCUGUCGUGGUUCUAGCUUGCUAGUCACUCAGCGCGUUCUUUAUCUUGUGUUUCCGGUUUUGACCCUUGCUUGUCUUUUGUCCUGUUGUCCUCUCCUCUCCUUUGACUCGGCUUGUAUCUCGCUUACCUGUCCUCCGGCUCCCUUGACCUCGGCUUACCUUUUGACUAUUCUUGCUUUGUCCUUACGUUAGUCCGGCCAUUCUAAGGUCCGGUAUACGUACCUCCUUCUGUGCGCACUCUGCGUAUUGGAUCCCUGUCAGUUUCCUGACAUUACGACAGGGCCAUGAUGGAUCCUGCAGGUGCUAGUCCUCCUGACCCCAGAUUUGAGGCCAUGGACCAUAGAAUGGACCAAAUGGCUUUAGCGUUACAAACUUUGUUGACACGCUCCAGUACCCAGUCUGAAGAAAUACGUUCCACUGCUAGCCACUCGCUAAGUACUGGUUUGGAAGUAGCCACUGUAGGCGCAUCUUCCCAUGUCACGUCACCAUUACGAUAUGGGGGUUCGCCUGAUGCUUGUCGUGGUUUUUUAAACCAGAUAAGUAUACAUUUCGAACUACAACCCCGGGCUUACCCCACUGACAGGGCUAAGGUAGGCUUUAUUAUAACCCUGCUAAUAGAUAAAGCACUUAGAUGGGCCAAUCCCCUUUGGGAGAAUGACAAUCCUUUAGUCUACAACUACACUGCGUUUGUCACGGCUUUUAGAAGAACCUUUGACCCCCCAGGGAGGAAGAUUAAUGCGGCCAGAUCCCUGUUACGCCUUAAACAACAAGAUAGGACCCUUGUAGAAUAUGCUCUAGAGUUUAGAUCAUUGGCAGCAGAAGUGAAAUGGAACGAACAAGCUUUUAUGGAUGUUUUCUUGAAUGGGUUGUCUGAUGAAAUUCUAGAUGAAAUUGCCACAAGAGAACUUCCGGAAAAUUUAGAGGAUUUAGUAUCCUUCAUUUCCAGAAUAGAUGAACGCAUGAGACAGAGGCAGAACACUCGGGAAAGAGUUACUAGACUUCCUGUAAGACUCGCUCCCUCAUUUCAGAACCCUGACUCCUAUAAUCCUACUCCACCAGAACCUAUGCAAAUAGGUAAUACUCGCUUAUCUGAGGCUGAGAGACAGUACAGAAGAAGGGAGGGUCUCUGUUUAUACUGCGGGCUGAGAGGUCACCUACGUCUCAGUUGCCCUAAUCGUCCGGGAAACGCUCGCACCUAAGUUCCCUUAGAGGACGGGCCUUGGGUGUUUCAUUACUGUCCUCUAUGCAUAAUAAAAAAGACCAUAGGCUUCUGAUUCCUGUCUCUCUAGCUUGGGAAAAGGGGUUUAUUACUACGAUGGCAUUAUUAGAUUCUGGAGCAGCAGAAAGCUUUAUAGACCAAACUUUCGCUAAUAAGCAUUGUAUCCCAUUCCAAUUGAGAGAUACACCCUUGGCCGUUGAGGCCAUAGAUGGUAGACCUUUAUCUGAACCAGUAAUAUUCCAUGAGACAGAACCCGUUAAGCUUACUGUUGGUAUUUUCCACGAAGAGUUGAUUUCCCUUCUGUUAAUUUCCUCCCCGGCAGUCCCAGUGGUUCUAGGAUAUUCUUGGCUCAAGAGACACAACCCUCAGAUUGACUGGGAGGGUGGAGAAAUCGUUUCUUGGGGUAUGGGUUGUAGGAAGGAAUGUCUGCAGAGAGUUACUUCUGUUUGCCCCGUGAACUCUUAUGCUAACACUUCUCAAUCCACAGACGUUCAGAUACCAUUACAAUAUCUAGACCUCAAAUCUGUAUUUGACAAGGGUAAGGCGGAUACUUUACCUCCCCACCGGUCUUAUGACUGUUCUAUUAAACUUUUCCCUGGUACUAUGCCUCCCAGGGGUACGGUAUACCCUCUAUCCACCAAGGAAAACUUAGUUUUAGAGGAAUAUAUCAAGGAGAAUUUAGACAAGGGAUUUAUUAGAAAGUCUUCUUCUCCGGCGGGGGCGGGUUUCUUUUUUGUAGAAAAGAAAGACGGUACCUUACGUCCUUGUAUAGACUAUCGGGGAUUGAACAAAAUUACUAUCAGAAAUGCUUACCCUAUUCCUUUGAUUACUGAACUCUUUGACAGACUAAAGGGCUCGAGUAUUUUUACUAAACUUGACUUAAGAGGAGCAUAUAACUUAGUGCGAAUUAAACAAGGAGAUGAAUGGAUGACAGCAUUUAAUACCCGUUACGGGCAUUAUGAGUAUACCGUAAUGCCGUUUGGGCUUUGUAACGCCCCGGCCGUCUUCCAAGACUUGAUCAAUGAAGUUCUUAGAGAAUUCCAACAUGAAUGUGUAAUUGUAUAUUUGGAUGAUAUACUAAUCUAUUCUAGAGACAUUAAUUCACAUCAUAGACAAGUCAGAAAGGUAUUACAGAAACUUUUACAACAUGGAUUGUAUUGUAAAUUGGAAAAAUGUAGCUUUGACCAGUCUCAGGUAACUUUCUUAGGUUACGUAAUUUCCAAAGACGGGUUUAUGAUGGACCCGACCAAACUAAAAUCGAUUUUAGAUUGGCCUUUACCUAAGGGACUCAAAGCCAUACAAAGAUUUCUUGGAUUUUCUAAUUAUUACAGACGUUUUAUUAAAGGGUACUCCUCUGUUAUCGCUCCUAUCACUAAUAUGACCAAACAAGGAGCCGAUACCAAAACCUGGUCUACUGAGGCUUUAUCUGCUUUCGAAACGCUCAAACAGUCUUUUGCCUCAGCACCUGUAUUAGUUCAUCCUGAUACCUCUCUACCCUUUUUACUUGAAGUUGAUGCGUCUGAAACAGGGAUAGGCGCAGUGUUAUCCCAAAGACAAAGUUUAGAUAAGCCGCUGCACCCUUGCGGUUUUUUUUCCAAGAAACUGUCACACACUGAAAGGAGAUAUGACAUUGGUGAUAGAGAACUUUUAGCUAUCAUUAUGGCAUUAAAGGAAUGGAGACAUUUGUUAGAGGGCACCGUCCUCCCAGUUACUAUCUUGACUGACCACAAAAAUUUAUCGUAUAUGGGGGAGGCCAAAAGAUUAUCUGCCAGGCAGGCACGUUGGUCUAUGUUCCUUACACACUUUAAUUAUGUGCUUACUUACAGGCCUGGUUCUAAGAACACUAAGGCAGACGCUUUGUCACGUCAGCACGAACCUACCACCUCUACAGAGGAUACUUUGUUCCCUAUUAUUCCUGAAGUCAAUAUUAUCGCCAACACCAAUGUCAAAAUACACUCUCCAUUGCUCGCUGAUAUUCAGAACGAACAAUCUCUUGCUCCCGAACGUACUCCUGUGGGCCGCUUGUUCGUGUCUCCCAAAUUCCAAGUGGACAUUAUUCGCUGUUUCCACGAUAGCAAGAUCGCUGGUCACCCCGGCAUCCACAAAACUUACUGCCUGAUCUCCAAAGACUUCUGGUGGCCCGGUUUACGUAGGGAUGUGGAAGACUUUGUCAAGGCUUGCAAUGUUUGUGUCAGGAAUAAACUUCCGCGGGAUCUCCCUUGUGGUUUAUUGCAGCCCUUAGUCGUUCCCAACAAACCUUGGGCUUGUUUGGCUAUGGAUUUUAUUGUUGAUCUACCAGCUUCCAAUAGGCAUACAGUUAUCCUCACGGUCCUUGACAGGUUUACUAAAAUGGCUCAUUUUGUUCCCUUGCCUAAACUUCCUUCCUCCCCCGAACUGGCCGUGAUAUUUGCUAGAGAAAUUUUCCGUUUACAUGGUAUUCCCAAUGAGAUUGUGUCAGACAGGGGUUCCCAAUUUAUUUCCCGUUUUUGGAGAUCCUUCUGUUCACAGUUGGGCAUCAAACUGAAUUUUUCUUCGGCCUAUCAUCCUCAAUCUAACGGAGCAGCCGAACGCACUAACCAAAAAAUUGAGCAAUAUCUACGUUGUUUUGUUUCUGAACACCAGGAUGACUGGGUCGGUCUGAUUCCUUGGGCGGAGUUUGCUCACAACAACCUUGUUUGUGGUUCCACUCGUAAUAGCCCCUUUUUCUUGAACUAUGGCUUUAACCCUACUGUUCUUCCGUCGGUGUCUCCUUCCCAGGGUAUACCGUCGGUUGAUGUUCAUAUAGCCAACCUGAGAAAGUUGUGGGAUCAGACUCGACAAAUUCUUGAACGUAGUUCCGCGGUGUUUAAGUCACAUGCUGAUAGGCGUAGACGUCCUGCUCCUAUUUUUUCUCCGGGGAUAGGGUCUGGUUGUGUACCAGACACAUUCGCCUGAAAGUUCCUUCCUUGAAGUUUGCUCCUCGUUACAUUGGUCCUUACAGGGUACUGAGGAGGAUCAACCCGGUUUCCUAUUUGCUGGAUCUACCUCCUACUCUACGCAUCCCUAACUCUUUUCAUGUGUCGUUAUUGAAACCUCUUGUUUUUAACAGAUUUUCCUCCCGCUCUACUCCUCCAUCCUCGGUCCGUGUGGAUGGUCAGGAGGAAUAUAUCAUCAAGUCCAUCCUUGAUUCUCGUAUUUCUAGGGGGAAGCUGCAAUACCUCAUAGACUGGAAAGGUUAUGGUCCAGAAGAGAGGUCUUGGGUUCCUGGUAUAGACGUGCAUGCUCCUCGCCUUCUACGGGCCUUCCACGUUCGUUUUCCUUCUAAGCCAGGUCCCAUCCGCCCGGUGGGCGUUUCUAGAAGGGGGGGUACUGUCAGGGUACCUGUUGGUGAUGUAUCCAGGGAGGACAUCCUCUCUGCUUAGGGGUUCCCUUCCCCUAGCAUUUCGGCAUAUUUCGGCCGUUUUCGCGCCGGCCGCGCUAGCUCCUCCCCCUUUUAUGACGCGACGGCUAGCGUCGACGUCAUGACGUCGGCAUUUGCAUAAAGUGCCGGGAACCGCUAUUCCGGACCUUUUGGGGGCGUGGUCUCUAUUUAGGUAACAGGGUAUUUAAAGGAAACCUUUACUACUGCUCAUUGCCCUGUCGUGGUUCUAGCUUGCUAGUCACUCAGCGCGUUCUUUAUCUUGUGUUUCCGGUUUUGACCCUUGCUUGUCUUUUUGUCCUGUUGUCCUCUCCUCUCCUUUGACUCGGCUUGUAUCUCGCUUACCUGUCCUCCGGCUCCCUUGACCUCGGCUUACCUUUUGACUAUUCUUGCUUUGUCCUUACGUUAGUCCGGCCAUUCUAAGGUCCGGUAUACGUACCUCCUUCUGUGCGCACUCUGCGUAUUGGAUCCCUGUCAGUUUCCUGACAACCGCUAAUAAUACUUUUUAAACAAAAUAGUUAAUCUUAAAAACCACCAAAACUUAUAUAUGCUUCUUUGUAUGUUGAAAUAACACUAGCAUAGGUACAAAAGCCUUUGCAGUUCAUUGUUGAAUUUCUAUAAUCUAAAUCUAUCUUUUAUCGUUUUUGCUCAAAUGAAAAAGCCUAAUAGUGAACGUUCAUAUCACGCUUCCUUCAUGCAAAUCUCUUAACUCUAAUCUCUUUUCUCACAGACUGUGUCACUUUAAGGUUAACUAUGACCACUUCUGUCCCUUGUUCCUAUACUCUCGCUAAUCUUUUUUUUUUUAUAAUAAUUUGAUAAUUUUAAAGUGAAAAUACCAUAUCACCUAAAACAGCAUUAUUCACAGUUGUUGUGACUCACCCAGCUCAUGACUGUGACCCAUGAUAUCCUGGGCAGAUUCAAUCACCUCAGUCAGCCUAGGUCUCCCCUCAGCCUCCAUUUUCUUCCUCUUUUGUUCAAACUUUCUGCUCUGCUUCCACAGCCUCUUCUUGCUUUAUAGGAGAUGGUUGAGAAACUUUCUGGAUCUCUUUGUUCUCUCCUCAGGAAUCCUGCAGGGGUCACUCUCACCAGACUUCUCUGUUUGCACUGGCCCCUUAAUUGUUAGAGGAUAUGAGCCUGUGUCCACCUCCAUUACUAGCUCCUCCUGUAGCUCAGCCCCUUCCUCACCUCCCUCAUUCAGACCUGAAGUACCGAGGGCUGACUCUAACAAGCUUGCAGCUGUAUCUCCACAGCUUAAAGCUUCUUGUUUCAAUUGUUCUAAUAGUACUUCAACUGUGCCAGACAUCUUCCAGGUAAGAGCAGCAGCUCAGUUAUAUUUAAAAACGGCCAACCUUGAUAGUUGUCUGGCACAAGCUGAGGUAAAUAAUUUGGUGCCUUUAAAUUUUUACUCCUCAUUUUCCCGCCGCUGCUUAUCUCGUGCUGCGAUCUACCAGUCAGGGAUAUUGCCCUGAUCGCGACCUUCCCGCUCUGCUAAUAGCGCGUGCUGCCCUGCACCUAACCCUCACUGCGCUCUGCUGCUAACCUAAACUCACCAAUACGUACCCAACAGCCUCUGCUCCAUCAAACCUCAUGAGGCAUGCUCCUUAUGCAGUCCGCGUGCCCGACAUUACAGGAUUUAGAAUGCCUCUAGUGGCUGCCAUUCAGACAGACAGCCACAAAAGGCACUUCCUGUUUGCUAGGCGACUUUUGGUUGCCUAACUGAUGCUGGACAUUCUCACGCUCUGCAUAAGGACAUCAAGUGUCAGUAAAAAAAAACCCAUAGAAAAGCAUUGCAGCCAUGUUAAAUGUGCAAUGAAAGGUUUCUAAUAGAGAAGUCUUUGAUUUGAGGAUUUCAUUUGCUCAGAAGUAGGUGCGUGCUCUGAGCCGACAACGGGAGGGGAAAAGAGAGGGAGACAAGAAAGAGAGGAAAAGGGAUGUCAGGAUAUUAAAAAAAAAAAUUAGCAGAGGGCUUCAAUCGGUGUGGGAGGGAAAGGAGACCAGAGCUUGUUCAUUUCAAGGGAAAAACAGUUUGACUGUUGGCAGCGUGCUGUGCUCUGGGCAUCCUAAGUCACAUAUGCUUGAGGUACAACUAGUCUCAGGCACAUAAUUAACAAUAACGCUGGAUGUGCAAUGUUUCUAUCAGAAGCACUGUACAUCCAAACUACUACCACCAUGACCACUUCAGAAAGCAGAAAUGGUCAUGGUGGUUGGAGUAACACUUUAAGUGGGCUGAUGGGGAGGGAUGAGCACCAAAAGCCAUGAACAGUUAGUUUCUUCUGCUUGAUAGUAGAGCUACAGGCACAGUUUUAGUAGGUGUAAAACUCAGUGCUGCCCCAGCUCCUCCAUGUCUGUGUGUGAGGCUGGACAGGAAAUGGAAGGGAUCACUUACCCCUAUGAUUGCAGACCAUUUGCAAUACCUUGGGUUGUCUACUAUUGCAAAUGGUAUGCCAUUAUGGGUGUAAAUUUCAUUCCUGGGCUACUAUAAAGUCCCAAAGGCAACGUAACCAAUCUGGCAAAUUUCAAUUUCAAAUGUAACGAGCUAUAUUUGACCCUGUAACUUCCCAAAACGCCAUAAAACCUGUACAUAGGGGGUACUGUUUUACACGUGAGACUUUGCUGAAUACAAAUAUGUGUAUUUUAUUGCAGUAAAAGCAAACAGUAUUAUGACAUUGACCGUUAAAAUGUCAUGUAGAACUAAAAAAAUCUUAUUUUCUCCCAUUUUUUUCAUAUUAAAUUAUGUUUCAUAGUUAAAUAUUUGAUAUUAAAUGAAAGCCCUGUUUCCCCUGAAUAAAAUGAUAUAUAAUAAGGGUGGGUGCAUUUAAUAUGAAAGAAGUGAAUUACGGUUGGACAGACAUGUAGCGCAAAUGCCAGGUUUUGUUUACAUUUUGUUUUGUUCACAACGUGUACAUUUGGCUCCGUCCUUAAGGGGUUAAUCUCAAAUUUAAAGGGACACUACAGAGGCAUAAAAAAAUAUUUUAGCUUGCCGAAAUUCUUUGUGUCAAAUGUCUCCUUUUUUUUUCCCCCUCAAUUUUACAAAAAGUGAAGAUGUGAAUAGAAAGUGACACAAUUAUGUAUAACUAUGUUACACACCCACUGACUGCCAGACAGUUGGUACCGUUACGUCCUGGUUGUUUAGCUCAGUGGCACUAAACGCAAUGGAUAGGAUAUUACAACCAGCGCCUGCAUUGCAAAAGACUGAGAUUUCCUAUUGGCAAGUCUGUGACUGGGCUGGGUUAGAAGAGUAGGGCUUUCAAAGCCUUUAGACGAGAGAGAGUGUUUGUUUUUUUAAUCUAUUCACCAAUGGGAAGUGCAGUGCUCCUUUAACUCCUUAAGGACACGUGACAUGUCAUGAUUCCCUUUUAUUCCAGAAGUUUGGUCCUUAAGGGGUUAAACGCACAAAGCCUAAACCGAAAGAAAUUCUUUAUCUUAAUAAUUGGUUUAACUUCACUUAAUCAAAACUCCCCAUGUAUCUGUCCCCAAUACUAAAUGUAACACAACACUAUCAUUUAUAUUACAACUAUAACGUAUCUCAAGCUUUUAAUACAGUAAACAGACUGUGUUGAUUAUGUUAACCCCUGUCUAAACUUUACCCUCCCCCACCUUUUCCAUAACUACUUUUACCAUUAUUGUUAACCCAGCAUGCAUACACUAUGCAUUCAAAUACAUAAGCAGAGUUACACACAUAAGCAACAUCUGCCAUUAUCAGAUAUGUUGUGUGUUUUUUUAGAUAUUGUUAUAUGUACCUAUGUCCAGAUAAUUUUAAAUGCCCUUUUUCUGUGAGGGAGGGGACUUAUACAAUUUUAAACGACCACUAUAGUGUCAGGAAAACAAACUCGUUUUCCUGGCAUUAUAUAACCCUUAGGAAUCCCCCACCCUCAGGACCCCCCUCCCGCUGGACUAAAGGGGUUAAAACCCCUUUAGCCACUUAUCUUUAUCCAGCGCCGGGCUCCCUCGGCGCUGGUGACCUCUCCUCCCCAUCCGCCGUCAGCUCCAGUUUGGAGCCGAAUGCACAUGCGCCGCCAGAGUCACGCGCGCAUUACAAUAGCCCAUAGGAAAGCAUUUCUCAAUGCAAUUUUUGCAUUGAACGUUGUGGAAGUGCCUCUAGCGGCUGUCAGGAAGACAGCCACUAGAGGCUGGAAUAACCCUGCAAUGUAAACAUAGCAGUUUCUCUGAAACUGCUAUGUUUACAUCUGAAGGGUUAAAACUUGGGGGACCUGACACCCAGACCACUUCAUUGAGCAGAACUGGUUUGCGUGACUAUAGUGGUCCUUUAACCCCUUAAGGACACAUGACAUGUCUGACAUGUCAUGAUUCCCUUUUAUUCCAGAGAUUUGGUCCUUAAGGGGUUAAGCUUACAGACACCUGAUGUAAAUCUUGCCCUGUGGGAUAGAACAUUCUUUAAAAAAAAAAAAAAAAAAUGUUAGCCAGCUGCCAAAUGUAACACAAAUGUAUAUAAAGGAGCUUAAACGCUCACUUUUUUUUUUAUAUAGAAUUUUUUUUUUAAAUUCAUUUUUAAUUAGCUGCUGGUCACUACCAUGUAUCCUCCCUAGAACCAUUAAAAAUGUAGUGCAGUACUUCAGUGCGAUUAAAAAUAAAAUAGAAUACAUUCUUAAAGUGUCAAAGUGAAUAUUGUUCAUAUAAUUAAACAAUGUAGUGCUAAACAGAACAAACUUGACUCUGUCUGUAGACAGAUGAUAACUUCAAUAUCCAAAUAACCUAUAAAGUGCUUAAUGCAAUCACCAUUCCACUACUGAUAAUCCGUGCAGUACAAAAUACAUCCAAUUCAAUAUUGGUGCAAAAUGCAUCCACUUCAAUAUUAUAAAUUAUAACCCACUGAUGUUAAUGUCUCUUUAAAGACAAGAGGGCUUAAGUGACGGGAGGGGUCUUAUGGGUGGGGGACAUAUAUGCUGUCCAGGCCUGGACUGACGAGUUAGCUAAUCUUCUGGAUGACAGAGUAAAAAAAAAUUUGUGGGAUGUCCCUGGACAUGUUUGCUGGGCUCUCCCAGAUUAGUCAAUACAUUAUUGUAUGUGGUCACUGGCAAACAUCUGUACCGUGUAUUUUACCUACAAGGCUUGUAUAUUUCAGAAUCACUGAAGGAGGCUGGAAGUGGUUGUGGUUUUAACGUGCUCCUGUCAUGAAUGUAAGAAUGUAUAACUAAAAAUUAAACUGUGUAUUCUCCCAGGUGCAUAGAUAAGAAUUCUACAGACAAUCCUGCGUUCAACUUACAUAGGUGGUUAUUUCAUGCCUCACAGGGUGCCCAAAUUUCAGAAAUCUGUUAUAAUGAAUAGCGUAAAUGGAAUACCUUACAAGCAGAUAUGCUGAUUAAACAUUUUGGCUCCUGUUAGGAAAACCAGGUUACACUCCUUGCUCAUCAAGUGGUCCCAUCAAUUGGAUGGUUUUUAAUUAUGGCUCCACAAUCAAGAACAAGGUUUCCAGAAAAUUCAUUUCACAGCUUGUUGACCAAGACUUUACAUUGCCUGUCUCCUGAUAGUGAUUCAGGCUAGUUUAUAUAUGGAAUCAUUGCUCUAGGAGGUGGUGGGAGUAUAAUGAACACAUACCAGCAGUUUUUAGCAAAUAACUGAUGUUUAGUACAAACUAUAAAGUGUCAGGUCCACUUUAGUGCUAUAUGUAAGCAGGUUUGUGCAAUUUCUCUCCUAUUGACUUAUAUUUUUAAGGUAUAACUGCACAUAACUAUAAUUAGGCAAAUAGCAUAUCAGUGUAUUUCCUAAUGUGCAGUAUUCAUCCACAAAGUCAGACUUUGUUACAACGGUAUAGAUUGCAGAGAUUAAAGUGCACCUGGUAUGACAAAAAAACAACAUAGAGAAACUACAUAUAUAAUAAAAUCACAUAUACACUUUGUACUAGCCAAAAGCUUUUCUUUUGUGUAAUUUUGUAUAUGGCACAGCAUGGAGGUAGAAUACAAAGAUUUUGCCUACAAAGGCCUCUGUGUGCUGCUGCCCAACCCUUGAUAAUGCCACAUCAUCAUUCUAAUACGCAUUAGGGGUAUUGCCCUUGUAAUCAGGGGUCAAAUCCUGGGGGGAAAAGUGCAGCAAUUCACCCAAUAUUUCCACACCCCAAAAUGGGUGGAAUGUCUUGUGUUUGUUUUGCUCAGCGCCAGCAAAUUUAACCCCUUCAGGACGGAGUCAAUAGUACACGUUCUGAUCAAAACAAAACGUAAACAAAAACUGGAAUUUGCUUAUAUGUCUGUUCACCCGUAAUUCACCGCUGUCACAUUAAGUGCACCCACACUUAUUAUAUAUAAUUUUGUUCAGGAGAAACAGGGCUUUAAUUUAUCAUUAAUUAUUCAUAUAUUCAACAUCAGUUAUUAUGAAUAAAAUUUUAGAAAAUAAGAUUUUUUUUAAAAAAUUGUGUAUUUCCGUCUAACAUUUUAGCUGUUAAUGUCAUAAUACUGUUAGGUAUUACUGUAAAAAAAAAUGCACAUAUUUGUAAUCAGCGAUGUCUCACGAGUACAACAGUACCCUCCAUUAACAGGAUUUAUGGUGUUUUGGAAAGUUACAGGGUCAAAUAUAGAACGUUCCAUUUUCAAAUUGAAAUUUGCCACAUUAGUAAUGUUACCUUUGAGACGGUGUGGUAGCCCAGGAAUGAGAAUUACCCCCAUAAAGGCAUACCAUUUGAAAAAGUAGACAACCCAAGGUAUUGAACGUGGGGUAUGUUUAGUCUUUUUUAGUAGCCACUUAGUCUUUAAAGCCGCGACGGCAUAGAACGCUAUAACGGCGUUAAGGGGUUAAGGAUAUGCCUGCUGAUGUUUUUUUAAGUCGUAUACCAAAGAACAAAACAGGACAGGGUUGGCGUUUGUGUGAAAGGACAUGUGGUGUACACACACAGACUGACCUGAACACACAUACAUGCAGUCACACCUCCUGCCCCAUACAGAGUGCACACGCACCAGCAGAUGCCUAGAUGCCUACCUUUCCGCAAGCUUUCUCUUCUCUGUCUCCCCACGCUGCUCUCUGUGACCCAGGAUGAAGUGAAAUGUAAUCACUUUCUGCCAGCACAAUGCCACUUGUGGCCACACGAGGUAACUGACUGUCAUUGUGCCGGGUCGACGCGACGACGUGGCCGUGCCCCAUUGGUGUCGUCAAGUCAGGGGAAACCUCACUCCCAUACUCGCCAUAAAACAGACUCACUCACUCUGCAUUCCCUAAAAGCCCCGUUCUUGGAGUUGACAAUGAUGAUGUGUACGUGCGCACCUCAUCACAUUAACAACACGCAUGUCUAGGCAUCACAUAGUUAAUUAUAAUCCUUGCUCUCCUAGGGAUAUUUACACUCCCAUAACCCAUUAUAUGGUGCCAUGUCAGGGUUUCCAUCUGUUUAGUAAAAUCUGAGAGCGUGUAUCCUUUUGUUAUUUCUAAUUUAUGUAACCUUCGCAUUCCUUGACUAUUCCACCUUCUGUUGUCCUUGACCUUUUGGCUAUUCUCUAAUUUUAUCCUGUCUUUUGUAAUCCUGACCUCGGGUAGUCCUGUAUUAUUCUACAUAGCAUUAAAUCCAUCGAUUCUUAGGCCUGGUAAUACACUUUUUUUCCCCAGGUGCAUUUGUUUUACUUAUGUUUUGCAUUUUGCGUCCUGGUUUUCCAUGACAUUGACAUCUAGGAGCCAGGUUGGCCAUGACUUGCAUUAGGGCUACCUACCUCACCCCCCUCCCCCUGACAUUGAGAUUACUGGGUUAGAGAUAUUUGAUCUUCUCACCUGCUCAUUAAGGUACAAAGAGCCCUAUCUGGGCUGGUUCUGCCCUGCCCACAUUUUUCUCCAGAAGUAACAGUGUUGCUGCACAUAGCUCAUUGUCAGUCUGGGGCCACUAACUGUAACCUAAGCUCACAGAGGGGAUCCUCCGGUGUCUAGUGAUAUCUGAGGAUCCUUGGUACUAGCAGGGAUUUAAUCCUUGUGGUACGUUUAAUGCAUGACUGUCUAUGCGGUCAGCGGCAUUAAAGCCCUGCAAUGCUUAACAGCAUAAACGGUCACAACCCUGUUAGUUUUACCACUGGAUGGAGCCCUUUUUAUGUUUACAUAAGACAGUCAGUGGUUUGCACUCAAAGGUACAUAGCAAGGAAAGUUGGGUUUUUGUUUUUUUGUUUGUUUUCUCUGAUGUUAAACCUGCAGUCUAUUGAAGCCACUUUCCCAUAAUAGGAUUCACAGCCCAGUGUUCCAUUACCAUUACGGGCACUCAUUCCCAGUUCGUCUUUCAGUCCUUGGUAUUUGUUCUCAUAUGAAUAAAAAAAAUAAUUUUUUUUUACAUUCUUUAUUUUUGUAGUGCAGCGGUAUAUAUUCAGGUUAGCAAUGACAUAUUGUAUACACUUAAUCUGUAUAGAUUAACAAGGAACAAAAAGGACAUAUUAAGAUAAACUGAACUUUUUUAAAGUAUAUGAACAAGAUAAAUAUACAAGUGGUAGUCAGUGUAGAACAAAAUAAGCAAAAUAAUUGUCAGGCUUAGAUAGCUGACUACACAAGAUUAAUGUAAAGGAAAGGGAAACCACCAAUAGCCUUUUUCCUGGGCCCACUGUUUAAGACAGACAGAGUAAAUCAAGCAGAGUUGCCAUACUGGGCAGGAAUAAGUAGAUAAAGUGCAUAUUUAUCCAAUACCCAUAGCAUGCAAGCAGAGUCCAGGCAGGUAUAAAAGUUGACAGAAGCCACCCUGUGUUCCAUGUCUCACUGUAGCACUCCAGCUUCUAUAGCCACAGGCUACGUCUCCCGCUACUAGUUAAAGUCUUUGAGAUUUCCGGGGGUUAUAAUCUUUGUGGGCGUGUUGUCAGAGUGCUGCCCACUAAAUCUACUUGUGUCUCUGUCCGGAGGUGAUUUUCCAAGCUAAAACACUGUAAUCAGGCUGAUCCAUGGGAACUAAUAGAGUGGGUUGCUUCCUCAGAUUGUGCCAGAACUGCUGACAGAUGGCAUCCACUGCGCUGAAGAAGCCCUCUUCUCAGUUCUGCGCCAGAGCUUGUACAGCAUGCUUUGCAGUAGUGCUGCCAUCGGCCAUUUUAGAUGGGUUUACAUAGGAACCUUCAAUGCACGAUUCACCCUGCAGCAGCAGAAAGGUGAGUGACCACAAAAUAGAAACCGUAGACUGCCCCAGAUGGAGAGAUUAGCUGCUUCCCUCACCAAGGAAACACCAUGCUGCAAUAAACUAGAAGUCGCAGCCACCAGACAGCUAGAAUGAUAAGAUCAGGAACCCACUCCAAAGUGUUCCAAGGAGUACCAGACAAGGUUAUUUCUGAAUCUCUUUAAAAUCAGGAUUAGGCAGGAGCUCAAGUUUUCUGUGACCAUCCAGUAGCGCUGCCCCAUGUGCUUUCUUUUUCAUGUUAUGGUCACUGGACAUUGCCACCUCCAACACGAAACUGGUUGUUUGGCCAGUGCUUGUUUUCCUGUCAGGAUCUGGACGUUUUAAUGGAUCUUGGCCCUGUCAUUUACAUCUACUCUUUAUGGCAACUUAUAUCACCUGGACUUGGGCAGGUAUAACCCAUUUUUGGUGCAGUAGGUUCUGUACAAAAUUCCAGCAACUCUGUUGUGUUUCUCAGUGUAUACUGUUCCUGCCAGCAUCUUACACCCGGGCUAGCUCGCCCCCUUCUUAAUAAUAUGUACUACAGCUUAUUGGAAAGCUGUGAUUGCAUUCUAGUGUGGCUACAACAGAAAGGUUUCUCAAUGAGCGUUUGAUUGGUAUAUUCCUCGGCACAAAGACAUACAAGCUUGCAAAGGCUGCAGACAGUAGAUUUUUUCCCCAUAUACGCCCAUAGAAAACAUUCUGGAUAAAAGAUAUGAGGGUUUACCAUGUACUAAAUUGUAUAACAUUGUAAAACACUCCAUUAAAAUUACUAAUAUUUUUUUUUUUUUACUUUCUAAAGCAAUUGCUAAGGUUUUUGAAUUUUAUUUCCUUAUUGAUUAUUUUAAGCACUGGAAUAUCUUGGCCAAAAUUCUGUUUUAUGACCUUGUUGACCUUAUAUUUCACUAUUUGAGUUUAUUGUAAAUCAAUGUAUUGCAGUUCUUUAUGACAUAAAGAGAAAGUGAGCUACAAAUUGAUUGAGAAGAGAGAAUAUUCUCUGUCAAAGUACAUAUAACAUUGAAGGAGGUGGUGGUGGUAAACAUGUUGUAAACCAAAUGUGAAUGCUCUAGAACUAUAGAGUAUUAAUAAAUGAUAAUAUAAUUGUCAACAUUGUCUCUAUUCUAUUUGUGUUACCUAACUAUUGUCCACAUAUGGUGUGGUGUGGUUGUUUUUUUGUUUUUUUUCUUCUUAUCUGUUCUAAAUUAUUGCUGGUUGAUAUACAGUGAUCAGCAACGACAUUGAUACCACAUUCCUCAUAUCGCACAGAUCCCCCCUUCUGCUGCCAAAACAGCUCUGAUGCAUUGAGGAAUGGACUCCACAAGACUUCUGAAAGUGUCCUGUGGUAUCUGGUGCCAAGUCUUUA
RNAcentral lists this long non-coding RNA (22039 nucleotides) under Pelobates cultripes (western spadefoot toad). The record is from RNAcentral. Lineage: Eukaryota; Metazoa; Chordata; Amphibia; Anura; Pelobatidae.